AUUGAUCACAUUUUAUAUUAGAUGGACAACAGGGGAGGAAAAAGAAUUGGUAAAUACAUUUUAUAUCAAAAUAAUAAAUAUAAGUGUUACCAUUCUAAUUUCCAUAACUGAUCUUGUGGCUGUACGUGGUAUUUAUAACUUCCCUUGUUGCUACCCAGUCCAUAUAUCCUUUGUCCUCAGCAAACAUGUCACUUGGUCACGGUGACUUAAAUCUUCAUUUUUGAAGGAUCCAGGCCUUGGCAACUGGACUUGUAUUGGGUCAUUUUCCAUAUACUUUGUUACAGUAAACAAGGUCCUCACAGAACGUGAGAGUAAAAGAGAUAUCCUUGAGUUCCAGACAUAGCUCUUACUAUGUUACAGUUUGCUAGUAGUUCAAUUUCCUUUCUGCUCCCCUCCACUCUACCCCUGUACUAGGAAUUGAACCCAGGGCUUUGCACAUACUAGGCAAGUAUAUAUCCCCAGCCCCCUCCUUCCUUUUGAAAGCCACAGUCAUUCCAUUCAGUAGAGCAAAACUCUGCUUUAUUUGUUGAUUCUUUAUCAUGAGGAGCCCAAAGUGGCCAGCACACAGUACCAACUUCCAGCUUAAUGUCAUCACCGUUACAUUUCCCUAUAGAAGCAUCUUUCCCUUGGCAACCAAGACUUCUAGACAAGCAGAGCAUAACAUUGAGGGUGGAGAGAACAAAUUUUGCAAGUGAAUCACUAGUGGCAAUAGUGAGAGGAAACUCAUUUCCACCCUUUGAUUCCUGGACCCAGGAAUAAUGAAGAAACAGUAAGAUAUAUUGGUUGCUGGUUUAGAGAAUCCACUGCAUCUUUCAGGACAUUACCUGAACCUGAUAAAGAGUUUCCUUCUGUCUAGCACACUAACAAAAUUGUCAAAAGAACCAUUUCACCUUCCAAUGAUGGAUAACACAGUAAAACUAAUGAAUUCUAUGAGUACAAAUGAGCCUAUUCCAACGCUUUAUUUACUGCAAAAUAAAUUCCUUGGUCAGAAGUAAAGCAUAUGGAAGAAUAUGAUGGCAAAUAAGAUGUAAGAAUUCUAUAAAUUCACAUUUGCACUUUUUUUGGCAAAAGUAUGACAGGUAGGAAAGACACCAUGAAGAUUAAUUUUCUAUGCACUGAUAACAAACCGCUGCCCUUUUAUGAUAGGAAGAGAGUCCAUUGUAACUAACUCACUCUCAGAUAGGGGCUGAUUCUUACAAAGGGUUGUGCUAUUUCAGGGGCUCAGUGUUGAUCUCACUUUUUUUUGAACUGGACAUUUCUCAAUGGCUAUCGUCAGAUUAGCCUUGGCGAGUGUAAAUUCAUGUUGCUGAACUCACACACACUGUCCACAUCUGCCACCAGAAUCACUUUCCUUACAAGCUAAUCAAACAAGGAAGGGAGUGACUGGAAAAAGAUCUGACAGAGGUCCACAAUGUGUCAUUUUUUCCCAUUAUUAAGAUCUUUCUAUCCUGAGGUUGAGCUGCGGUGAGCAUUCACAUGGGCCCUUCUGUGUCCAUUCAAGGAAGUCUGUGCAUAUUUCUUCUUUCCCAGUCUUUCCUCUGACCAAUAUAUAUCAUAUUACUCCACCAGUUACUUCCCAUGAAGCAAUGUAGAUUCAUAUCACUGGCUCUCUCUUUCUCCUUUCAGACAAAAUAAAUAGUCAAGUACACUGAUGAAAAGUUCUGUCCAUUGGGAAAAAAAAAUUCCUUCACCUAUCUGCCUGGGUCACCCUUGAGCAAGGCAGCAAUGAUGUAACCAUUUAGUUUUGGAUGAUACCAAGAUAUUAUGCAAAAUUUUCUUUAAACAAUGUCAAAUAUUUAUCUUUUAAGUCCGCUGUUCACUGAGAAGCUCAUAUGAGUCUAUGUGUGUAUGUUCCAAGAGAUUAUAGCAAACCAUGGGAAUCUGAGUCACUUAUUUAUUCAGUGUGCUUGUGCUUACUCUCUCAUAUAUUCCACUGCCACUUGAUAAUGAAAUGCUGUCAUCCAUGCCCAACUUAGAUUUGCUGGAUUGACAACACUUAGUCCAUCAAGAGAAAUUCAGGUGGUAUUAUAACUUGAUGGUCUAUGUUGAAGCUACCAGCUUCAAACUGCUAUUCUGAAAACACCAUAAUAGUUUUGCUCCAUAAUUCUAAGUGUCUGCUCUAUAAUUGACUUAUUGGAUGAAUGGUUUCAUGUACAAUUCCUGUCUAUACUUCUAGUGCUAUGGAGUAUACUGGCUCUAGAUGUAAAAACAACUGCAAGUCUUCUAAAGCACAUAAACUCUGAAAUUCCAUAUUGCUUCUGCCAAAUUUUGUGUACUAAAUGAGUCAUUAAUACAAGCACAGAUUCAAGGGGAGGGAAAUUAAACUCCAUCCCUCAAUAGGAUGAGUAGCGAACAAUUUGUGACCAUCUUUAAUCCACCACAGUUCACUUUGCACAUUACAGCCUACACAUGGAAAAUGACAUACAGGAGGGAGUGGGUUUGGAAUGAAUGUAAGGAAAACAAUUACAUUAAUUCCCUCCAAGAAUUGCUUCAAAUGGUAUUGCAAUUCAAGGCUAGCACUUGAACUCCUCUCUGGCCUCAAGGAUCUAUCUUCCUUCAUCCUCCAAACCAACCCCUGAGGAAUGGGGAUAGAGGUCAGUAGGGCAGAGUUAGAGCUCCCUGAUGAUUGAGUCUACUCCUUAUUCUGAUAGGAUCACCUUUCUAAGAACAACAUCACCCAUCAUCUUUUUUUUUCCGGAUCAGACUUCAAUGAUGUAAUGGAUUUUUAAAGUGGUUGGGUUCAGAGACAUUUUAUACUCCAUAACUCAAGGCUAAUUCUCCAUAUCAUCCUCGCUGCUUUUGGCUCUAUAUUCUCAAAAAGAAACCUGAAUGCUCCUGAAGAGGAGAUUCCACAGAUCCUAUCUGCCCUAUUUCUAUAUGCUCUCUCCAAAGAAUAAAAUCAUGUCCCAAAACUCAGUGAUCAACAUGCAGGUCCAGUAUUAGCAUUGGGAGUGACUUCUCACCAUGCGGAUGAUGCAUGUCCCACCUGGUUACCCUAAGCAUGAACUUUCAGACUUAUGCCUUCUAGAGAAUACUCGACUUUUUGUGAGUCAACUGUGGAAUUUUGGAAAUAGACUCUGCCUUGUCUUUGGUUUUCUCAGCUGCAGACUAUUAGCAGGGAUUAUAAAAUAGGAAAUUGAUGAGGUGAUCUUUGAUAAAACUGGUACUGGAGAUGGGGCUGGAGGCAGACGUUUAGGAAAAGAAGCCAAUAAAAAAAUUGUUAUUGACAGAGUUAUUGACAAGUAAUCAUUGUGAAAAAUUAGAGUUGAGUUCCAAGUUGUCCAAGGGGCGAGUUAGAUGGUACUUUUAUUUAUUGAUUCUCUUAGUCAUAGAUAAGGUAAAGGAAGAGGCAUCCGUUCCCAGCUACUUCCAGUCUUCUUAGAGGCAGGCAGAGUAGAGUGGCCAGUCGAAUUUCUCAAGCACAUAAUCACAGGUCCUGCUCUUCCAAGACAGGUCAGCAUGUCCAGGAAAUGGUAAGUAACAGGGAGCAAGGCAGAGGAUGGACUCCACGUGCUACAGGGUAUAGCAGGUGGAGUUUCUCAGACUCCCAUGCCUCUUUGGCCAGUUCCAGCCCUGGUGAGAACAGACAGUCAGAGAUUGAUGGGAAGUCUCUCUACCUAAGGUAGCAAAUCCACAACAACGUCUUCUUCAAUUCAUUACCAUUAUUUCUUAUAACUAGACCCCAAAUCAUUCUUUCACUUCUUAUUUUUCCCUCAUCUUUUUUACUGAGAGAGUUAAGCUUGAUUUGCUUCCAAAAGGUAUUUAUUUAUUUUCUGAUGAUUGACUUUGUAUAUAUUCAGACCCAAGGCUUUUAACUUUGCAAUUUCUUUCUCUUCCUAUACCUCCUCCUUUCAUGCAGUCAAAACAUGAACAUGUUUGUUCGUCCAUAACAGUAUUCCCUUAUGAUGCAGUAUAUUUGUGGGAAGGGGAUAAAUAGGGAGAUGUGGUGGAAGAGAAUUUUCUAAAAGCUGCUUGUCUUUGGUGCCAGAAUAAGGUUGAGGUUUUGAUCAUGAGGCUGCAGAGCACUCCUCAGACAUAUCUGACUUACGAUUGCCUAAGAAAUAAUGAGAUUAUAAUCAUUUGCUUCUGACUUAUGAUUGGAAGUUCAAAGUAGGGAGGGAGUACUUGAGUGGAUCAUCUUCAUCCUGAUAUUUAUCCUCUAGUGGGGAGCAUUAUCUCCUCUGGAUUAACAUCAACUGAAAUAUCCUAGAGGAUAAAACACAACACUCUUUUCUUAAGGGUUGCCCUCAUAUAGCGGAAACACAUAGCUAGUAGUUAUGAGUCCUCUGUGGCACUGACUAAGGAAUUUAACCUCUCUGAGUCUUCUUUUCCUACUUUACUGUGUUUGUUGUGAGGAUUAAAUGAACUAAUGUGGACAAAGCACCUAGCAUGUUCCUGAUAUAAAACCAGGAAUCUUGACAAAUGUUACUUCCAUCAGAGAAGUUUUUUUUUUUUUUUAAUAAUACCAAAUUUCAAAAAUCUACUAAAUCACUGGGGGUCCACUAAACAAUAAUUCACAUGAAUAAUAGCCUACUAAGCAGGAGAAGCAACUAGAGAGACAGAUCUGAAAGUAAAAAGAAUCCAAUUAUCCAUCCUUUAGUUUUUACUACUUAUAUGUGUCUAUUCCUAGAAGAUCAUCAGAAAGGCAUUUCCCUUCCAAUUUGAAUAUGAAUGGCUGGAAUGCUCAGGGAAUUUAUUUUUCCAAUGCAAGGUAGCACUGUGCCUUAACAUUUAUCAUUUGUUUAUUCAUUUAACAAACAUUUGUUUUUUUUAUAUCUUGCAGUGGCCUAAUGCAAGGCAAGAAUACACCCUCACAGGGUAGAAUCCCAUAUAGUGUUCAGGACAAAGAGGCCAUUGGAUCUGUCUUUUAGCAUCCAGUUUAGUGCCUUGCCUGUAUUUCAUGUGGUGUCUUAUUAUUGAUUAAUCGGAAUUUUGAUCUUAUUGGUGUCUGCCAUCUAAAAAAGUCAAUAAGUGUUGGAGAGGAUGUGGGGAAAAAGGUACACUCAUAUAUGGCUGGUGAGACUGCAAAUUGGUGCAGCCAAUAUGGAAAGCAGUAUGGAGAUUCCUUGGAAAUCUGGGAAUGGAACCACCAUUUGACCCUGCUAUCCCUCUCCUUAGACUAUAUCCAAAGGACUUAAAAACAGCAUACUACAGGGACACAGCCACAUCAGUGUUUAUAGCAGCCCAAUUCACAAUAGCUAAACUGUGGCGCCAACCUUGAUGCCUUCAGUGGAUGAAUGGAUUAAAAAAAUGUGGCAUAUAUACACAAUGGAAUUUUACUUAGCAAUAAAAGAGAAUAAAAUUAUGGCAUUUGCAGGUAAAUGGAUGGCAUUGGAGAAGAUAAUGCUAAAUGAAGUUAGCCAAUCCCCCAAAACAAAUGCCAAAUGUUUUCUCUGAUAUAAGGAGGUUGACUCAUAA
RNAcentral lists this long non-coding RNA (5418 nucleotides) under Marmota monax (woodchuck). The record is from RNAcentral. Lineage: Eukaryota; Metazoa; Chordata; Mammalia; Rodentia; Sciuridae.